Molecule: ribosomal RNA, 497 nt
Filed under: uncultured bacterium
Lineage: Bacteria
Description: partial 16S ribosomal RNA
Rfam family: Bacterial small subunit ribosomal RNA
Source: RNAcentral
GAUGAACGCUGGCGGCGUGCCUAAUACAUGCAAGUCGAGCGAACAGACGAGGAGCUUGCUCCUCUGACGUUAGCGGCGGACGGGUGAGUAACACGUGGAUAACCUACCUAUAAGACUGGGAUAACUUCGGGAAACCGGAGCUAAUACCGGAUAAUAUAUUGAACCGCAUGGUUCAAUAGUGAAAGACGGUUUUGCUGUCACUUAUAGAUGGAUCCGCGCCGCAUUAGCUAGUUGGUAAGGUAACGGCUUACCAAGGCAACGAUGCGUAGCCGACCUGAGAGGGUGAUCGGCCACACUGGAAGUGAGAACGGGCCCAGACACCUAGGGGGGGAAGCAGUAGGGAAUCUUACGCAAUGGGGGAGAGCCGGACGGAGCAACGCCGCGGGAGGGAUGAAGGUGUUCGGAUCGGAAAACGCUGUUAUUAGGGAAGAACAAAUGUGUAAGUAACUAUGCACGUAUUGACGGUACCGAAUCAGAAAGCCACGGCUAACUACGUG